UGAUGUGGCUAGAACUAUGGUCUUGGUUGGGUUUCCCAUGAGCAAGAGUGCAUGCCCUGUAGGUAUCUAUUCUUAAGAUAUUUGCAUCUUAGAGAAGUGAAGACGAAGUUGGAUAAGGUUGGAUAGUCUCAGGCUAAAGGAAAUUAUAGAUUGACUACGAUUGGUCUAUUUGAUAGGAACUUCAGGAACCAGCUCAUUGAUAUCGAUCGCAAAUGUAAGUUGUCAAUUAUAAAGAAUGCGAGUAUCUUGUUGGAAGAGCUUAGAAAUAAGGUGCGGAAGAAGUCAAGCAAAUGGUUAAGAUAGAAAAGGAAUUGCUAGAAAAGGAGUUUCAAGAGGGUGGUGAUGGUGGCUCUUCUUAAAUUUAAUCUUUUGUCGUAACUGGAGUGGUUUUAUUUUCAUCAUGAAGCUUGUAGCAUGGAAUGUUAGGGGUUGGAAAACCCUAGAAAGAUGAUUUAGUAAAGUAUAGAAUCUAGC
Molecule: long non-coding RNA, 474 nt
Filed under: Phoenix dactylifera (date palm)
Lineage: Eukaryota; Viridiplantae; Streptophyta; Magnoliopsida; Arecales; Arecaceae
Description: long non-coding RNA (PDAC_LNC022199)
Source: RNAcentral